UAGGGAAUCUUUCUUAUGGACGAAAGUCUGAUGGAGCAACGCCGCGUGAGUGAAGAAGGCUUUCGGGUCGUAAAACUCUGUUGUUGGAGAAGAAUGGUCGGCAGAGUAACUGUUGUCGGCAGCAGCCGCGGUAAUACGUAGGUG
RNAcentral lists this ribosomal RNA (144 nucleotides) under uncultured Lactobacillus sp. Its description in RNAcentral is "partial 16S ribosomal RNA". It matches the Rfam family "Bacterial small subunit ribosomal RNA", at positions 355 to 533 of the family's 1533-position model. Lineage: Bacteria; Bacillati; Bacillota; Bacilli; Lactobacillales; Lactobacillaceae. The record is from RNAcentral.